GACGAACGCUGGCGGCGUGCUUAAAACAUGCGAGUCGAACGGAAAGGCCCUGCUUUUGUGGGGUGCUCGAGUGGCGAACGGGUGAGUAACACGUGAGUAACCUGCCCUUGACUUUGGGAUAACUUCAGGAAACUGGGGCUAAUACCGGAUAGGAGCUCCUGCUGCAUGGUGGGGGUUGGAAAGUUUCGGCGGUUGGGGAUGGACUCGCGGCUUAUCAGCUUGUUGGUGGGGUAGUGGCUUACCAAGGCUUUGACGGGUAGCCGGCCUGAGAGGGUGACCGGCCACAUUGGGACUGAGAUACGGCCAAGACUCCUACGGGAGGCAGAAGUGGGGAAUAUUGCACAAUGGGCGGAAGCCUGAUGCAGCAACGCCGCGUGCGGGAUGACGGCCUUCGGGUUGUAAACCGCUUUCGCCUGUGACGAAGCGUGAGUGACGGUAAUGGGUAAAGAAGCACCGGCUAACUACGUG
RNAcentral lists this ribosomal RNA (468 nucleotides) under uncultured bacterium. RNAcentral's name for it is "partial 16S ribosomal RNA". It matches the Rfam family "Bacterial small subunit ribosomal RNA", at positions 28 to 507 of the family's 1533-position model. The record is from RNAcentral.